This 550-nucleotide long non-coding RNA is filed under the name Ursus maritimus (polar bear). Its description in RNAcentral is "lncRNA (ENSUMAG00000008868.1)". The record is from RNAcentral. Lineage: Eukaryota; Metazoa; Chordata; Mammalia; Carnivora; Ursidae.
AUUGCAUUGGCUGGAGACGGCGUGUCACCUAACCUGGAACCAACAGGUCCCAUGGCCAUGCCUGAAGCAUCCAUUUGAGAAAAUGGAUUCACCGAUGGACUUGGUCCAUCAGGCUCACACCCAGAGUAGGCCUGAGAUAAUUCCAAGCAAAUCACACAACUCAGAAGGAGGGGACUUCUCCCAAGGAACGGUUGGCAGCAGAAGAGCUUGUUAGGAGGCUACCUGGAAGGGAACCGAAUUUCUGAUGUAGGUUAAAGGCAAGUAUAAAUUCAAGGCUUGCUGAAAUUCUCUCUUUGCAGUCAGUCCUCACUUUUAGAAUGAACACAUUAUAUUUAGCGAUACAAAGAAAUAAUAAUGUGCUGCUGGUUUGUUGUGAAGAGCUGAGGUUGAAAACUUCGUGUUUUCAGUUUGAUCAUUCCAACUAGCAUGAAGCAGAAGGAAUUGGGCAUCUUGAUGUUAUGGCUGCUUGAUGUUAUGGCUACUGAGACUGAUUCUCUUGGUGCAUAUGUUACUUCAUCCCUUUGUGCAAGGCCAAGGGAGUUUCUUUCAA